This is a long non-coding RNA of Perca fluviatilis (European perch), 354 nucleotides long. RefSeq lists it as uncharacterized. Lineage: Eukaryota; Metazoa; Chordata; Actinopteri; Perciformes; Percidae. The record is from RefSeq and is a predicted model, not a curated record. The transcript has 3 exons.
ACAAAUGCCGGUGCUGUUGUCAGUGUGUGAGAGAGAGAAAGUGGGUGAAAGGUUGACCGGGAGGCUGUGCGGGAUGACAUAAUCACUGUACAGUUAAGGGAAGAUGACCAGUUCAGUACCCAGUUGAUGUGCAGUACGGUCUUCAAUCACACAAGUUCAACCAAUUUAUGACAUGGCAGACCUGAGUUACAAAGGAAACCCAGGCCCACAGUCCCCCCGACGCUAAUGGAGUUAUUUCUUUUCAGCCUGAGAUAAUGGCCCAAGAACAAAUCCAUUUUGUCUGCACACUCAAUGUCCGUGUCAUUACAAAAGACAUCUCAGAGUGGCUGGUAAUUCAGUUUUGCUUUGGAAAUA